GCCAGACUCCUACGGGAGGCAGCAGUGGGGAAUAUUGCACAAUGGGGGAAACCCUGAUGCAGCGACGCCGCGUGAGUGAAGAAGUAUUUCGGUAUGUAAAGCUCUAUCAGCAGGGAAGAUAAUGACGGUACCUGACUAAGAAGCCCCGGCUAACUACGUGCCAGCAGCCGCGGUAAUACGUAGGGGGCAAGCGUUAUCCGGAUUUACUGGGUGUAAAGGGUGCGUAGGUGGCAUGGCAAGUCAGAAGUGAAAGCCCGGGGCUCAACCCCGCGGACUGCUUUUGAAACUGGCAGGCUUGAGUGCUGGAGAGGUAAGCGGAAUUCCUAGUGUAGCGGUGAAAUGCGUAGAUAUUAGGAGGAACACCAGUGGCGAAGGCGGCUUACUGGACAGUGACUGACACUGAGGCUCGAAAGCGUGGGGAGCAAACAGGAUUAGAUACCCUUGUA
This 446-nucleotide ribosomal RNA is filed under the name uncultured bacterium. RNAcentral describes it as "bacterial SSU rRNA". It matches the Rfam family "Bacterial small subunit ribosomal RNA", at positions 330 to 792 of the family's 1533-position model. The record is from RNAcentral.